GACGAACGCUGGCGGCGUGCCUAAUACAUGCAAGUAGAACGCUGAAGGAGGAGCUUGCUUCUCUGGAUGAGUUGCGAACGGGUGAGUAACGCGUAGGUAACCUGCCUGGUAGCGGGGGAUAACUAUUGGAAACGAUAGCUAAUUCCGCAUAAGAGUAGAUGUUGCAUGCCAUUUACUUAAAAGGUGCAAUUGCAUCACUACCAGAUGGACCUGCGUUGUAUUAGCUAGUUGGUGAGGUAACGGCUCACCAAGGCAACGAUACAUAGCCGACCUGAGAGGGUGAUCGGCCACACUGGGACUGAGACACGGCCCAGACUCCUACGGGAGGCAGCAGUAGGGAAUCUUCGGCAAUGGACGGAAGUCUGACCGAGCAACGCCGCGUGAGUGAAGAAGGUUUUCGGAUCGUAAAGCUCUGUUGUAAGAGAAGAACGAGUGUGAGAGUGGAAAGUUCACACUGUGACGGUAUCUUACCAGGAAGGGACGGCUAACUACGUG
This 495-nucleotide ribosomal RNA is filed under the name uncultured bacterium. Its description in RNAcentral is "partial 16S ribosomal RNA". It matches the Rfam family "Bacterial small subunit ribosomal RNA", at positions 28 to 507 of the family's 1533-position model. The record is from RNAcentral.